AUCUCUCAUCUAUCCCUAACCUCUCAGUUUACCUGUUCUGGUCUUUCCUCACAUAUCUGACAAUCGUUAGCUCUCUUUGUAUUUCAAAGAAAAGCUCUGGAAUGUGUCUGGGACCUGUGUAUAUAUGGGCAAAACUCAUCAACGAAUGGGCUCCCUGGUGAUUAUUUGGCAGAUUCCUGGCAAUUUCAUCAGAGGAUCCAAAAAUGUAUGUGCAGGCCUUUUUCUCUUUGGUUGGUUGGCUUCUCCAGAGAAUAAGCCUCUUUUUCAACUCAGACAUUUAUACUUAGCUAACAGCAUUCAGGAAACUGAGAAAAGAAGGAACGUUGGAAAUUUCACCCUUCAGUGUGUGGACUUUGAGUUAGUCUUCCCGUGUUCAGUCUAGAGCCUUACUCCAAAUGGAAAUUCCAAGAUCCAGAGCCUCUCUGGCCUGGCUCCUCCCGAGGGAAAACUUCAGAAUUAUGCUAAAAUGGGCAAGGGUAG
Molecule: long non-coding RNA, 480 nt
Filed under: Homo sapiens (human)
Lineage: Eukaryota; Metazoa; Chordata; Mammalia; Primates; Hominidae
Description: HSALNT0038790
Source: RNAcentral